AGGCAGCUAGCAGACAGUUGGAUCAGUCUGUUUGUCUGCUGCCUGACCUUGGCCCUGGUUCGUCAGCGACUGACUGUCCCACGCCGACGGCUGUCUGAGAGACUACGAGGUGAGUCAUUCACAAAUUGAAGGCAUCGCGCUCGUGUAGUCACUCCACUCACUGUGACGUCAAGCGAAACGCUAGAAUAUAUCCAGCUCCUCUUUUCUGCAACCUGGAAACUGAUUUCUUACCGUCCAGAGACAUGCACAUGCAGAGAAGAUGGCCAGUUUGGAGGAAACCAGCUAUUCUUUAAAUCCUGCGUUUCAUUUGUGGUUAUACUACAAUCUUAGUAUUUUGUGUAUUUUAUAUUUUAUUCAUAAAGAAUAAAAUCAAUAACAUGCAGUAGAAUGCCAAGGCACAAAUGUAAAUAGGCUUGCCCUGUAGUAACUGCAAUUUGCUACCAGCAGUAUUAGGGGCAUGCUUUCAAGAAAACAUUGUGAUAAGUUUAGAUUUGAUGAUGUUGAA
Colossoma macropomum (tambaqui) is the source of this 505-nucleotide long non-coding RNA. RefSeq lists it as uncharacterized. Lineage: Eukaryota; Metazoa; Chordata; Actinopteri; Characiformes; Serrasalmidae. The record is from RefSeq and is a predicted model, not a curated record. The transcript has 3 exons.